CAAAUUUUYUUAACAAAAAGUAUACAUAAUAGAAAAUUAAAUUUUUAGGCUGUUGAGCACUAUUAGAGAAGCUUGCUUUAAUUCGUCUUUACUCGUUAUUAUUUUCUUAUUAAAGUUUAUUUAUCUCCGUUAUCAGGGAUUAUCCGACCCGCUUGUCAUUAUUUUUAUUAUAUUUCAGGUCAAGAUAUAGCUAUAAUAUAAAUAAGUUAGCUGCAAUUUCAACGACAAAAUUUUAAGAAAUCUAAAAUUUUUAAAUGGAUUUAACUGUAAUUUUUUUUAUUAAAAAAAAAUGAAACCUCAAUGUUCA
Molecule: ribosomal RNA, 307 nt
Filed under: Dongmoa sp. DNA101100
Lineage: Eukaryota; Metazoa; Arthropoda; Arachnida; Opiliones; Podoctidae
Description: partial 12S ribosomal RNA
Source: RNAcentral